This 574-nucleotide ribosomal RNA is filed under the name Triticum aestivum (bread wheat). Its description in RNAcentral is "rRNA LSU_rRNA_eukarya". It matches the Rfam family "Bacterial large subunit ribosomal RNA", at positions 184 to 601 of the family's 2925-position model. The record is from RNAcentral. Lineage: Eukaryota; Viridiplantae; Streptophyta; Magnoliopsida; Poales; Poaceae.
CUUAGCGAACUGAAACAUCUGAGUAGCUAAAGGAAGGAAAAUCAACCGAGACCCCGUUAGUAGCGGCGAGCGAGAGCGGAACAAGGGUUUUCAUCAAAAGAAAUCCGAAGCGGUUUCAUUCGAUUUGUUGUGGAUUGGAUGAUGGAAAAACCAGCAAGCAGCAAGCGUAGUUAGAAAAGUUGCCGUAGCGCGCCCUACGGAGUUGUACAAAGUCAGCAACCGUUUUGGGGCGCAAGCAUAGGCAACACAGGACUGAUGACGGGGUGGGGCGCGCAGUGAACUGGUUUUCUAAAAAGAUUGGAAGAUCCGGCCAAAGAAGGUGAUAGCCCUGUUCAUUCGUUCCCAUGGUUCGAUCCUUCCCAGUAAAACGCGGCAUGUUCGAAUGAUGAUCGCUUUUACGCGAGAAAGGGGGACCACCCUCUAAGCCUAAGUAUUCCUCAAUGACCGAUAGCGUACAAGUACCGUGAGGGAAAGGUGAAAAGAACCCCAAUCGGGGAGUGCAAUAGAGAACCUGAGAUCCGAUGCGAACAAUCAGUCGAAGGAGCGGAGCGCGGGCGCACUCACUCUAACGGUG